This is a non-coding RNA of Ictidomys tridecemlineatus (thirteen-lined ground squirrel), 1274 nucleotides long. Lineage: Eukaryota; Metazoa; Chordata; Mammalia; Rodentia; Sciuridae. The record is from RefSeq and is a predicted model, not a curated record.
CUCUGCCCAUCAAGACAGGCAGAGUUCCUCUAUGAAGCACUUUGAUGUCCAGUUCGCCUUGUGAAUGAGGGUACAAUCCUCUGGAGUCCCAACUUCAGAGGGAAAUCACUGUAAAAGUCGCAGUCUACUGUUGGACAUGAUUUCAGAUGACUACUUCACAGUAUUGGUGAACUUCAUGUUGCUACAUAAUUGAACAAGAAUUGUUUAACAAGGUGAUGAAGAUAGUAUUUCUGAAAACCUUGAGUUCUGAUGCCUUCUAUAAGCAUCAGCACCGACCUGAAUUCCUUAAAGUCUUCUUUUAGCUAAAGCUUUCAUCACACACCUGGACUCUACCUUGGACCUGCCGGAGACUUUAUUUCAUUACUUAAAUCGUAAUUUUCCAGAAGGAAAGUAGAAUAUACAACUUGAAAGCCUGGAUAUCGAAAGGGACAAUGGCCAGACCAUAUAUAAAGUAGACACUGACCCCAACCUCUGCAGUCACCAACUGGGAAAGACAAACCAAGAUCCUACUGCAGUCUACUACCCUGUGGGUAAAACAGAAAAAAAGAUGGAACUAUUGAAGCUUUUUGGAAUGGAAUAAAAAAUUUCUUUUGACCACAUUGGGGACUUAAAGCCAUCAGUGUAACAGUAGACUUUUAAUCUUACUUUGUCAAUGGAAAUAAACUUGAAAUUAAAGACAAUUAGAAAACAGAAAUUAGAAUGGAAGUAAACCUUUACCUGUAUUACAAAAACUGCCAGAACAUUUUGAAAGGUCUCUAGAACAAAAGAGAAAACCCCCCAAAUAAGCUUACAUCAAAAAGGUAGGUGGCCUACUUCCUAACAGCCCAUCUAUUAACAAGGACACAUAUUAUAAAUAAAACUACUUGAAGGAAAAAAAAAUGGAUCUAUUUUACAAAAGAAAACAGAGACUAAGACAAAUCUUUUGACUUAGAUCAGUGAGGGUGUUCUUGAGAAAGGAAAAAGCUCUUAAACUUUCAAGUUGAAUUAACUACAAAGAUAGAUGAUAAACCUAAUUAAUUCCUGGCAGAUACUGGAGUUACAUUUUCUGCAUCAGAUCUGACAUUUUGUUCAACCUCUUCCCUGGAGUAAUAAACCCUAGUCUAUAAUCAGACCCAUUCAGUCCCCGGUGGCAAACCUUUCUUCCUGCUAUGUGACACCAUUCCUGGAAAUUUAAAAAGGAAAGACUUUGCAAGUGGAAUUGUUAUACUGAAAGCACAACAGAGGGACUGGUAAUGAGGUUUCAGAGGAUCUCAGAAUAAAGUGCCUGCUCUGGA